GACGAACGCUGGCGGCGUGCCUAAUACAUGCAAGUCGAACGCAGUGGGGACGGGUGAGUAACACGUGGGUAACCUCCCAUCAGAGGGGAUAACCCUUGGAAACAGGUGCUAAACCGAUACUGAUGGAUGGACCCGCGGUGCAUUAGCUAGUUGGUGAGGUAACGGCUCACCAAGGCCACAAUGCAUAGCGGACCAGAGAGGGUGAGCGGCCACACUGGGACUGGUAUACGGCACAGACUCCGACGGGAGGCAGAAGGAGGGAAUCUUCGGCAAGGGACGAAAGUCUGACCGAGCAACGCCGCUUGAGUGAAGAAGGUUUUCGGAUCGUAAGACUCUUUUGUUAGAGAAGCGGUAUCUAACCAGAAAGCCACGGAUAACUACGUGCCAGCCGCCACGGUAAUUC
RNAcentral lists this ribosomal RNA (403 nucleotides) under uncultured bacterium. Its description in RNAcentral is "partial 16S ribosomal RNA". It matches the Rfam family "Bacterial small subunit ribosomal RNA", at positions 28 to 526 of the family's 1533-position model. The record is from RNAcentral.